UACGUAGGGUGCAAGCGUUGUCCGGAAUUAUUGGGCGUAAAGAGCUCGUAGGCGGUCUGUCGCGUCUGCUGUGAAAAGCUAGGGCUUAACCCUGGCCUUGCAGUGGAUACGGGCAGACUAGAGGUAGGUAGGGGAGAAUGGAAUUCCCGGUGUAGCGGUGAAAUGCGCAGAUAUCGGGAGGAACACCGGUGGCGAAGGCGGUUCUCUGGGCCUUACCUGACGCUGAGGAGCGAAAGCGUGGGGAGCGAACAGG
RNAcentral lists this ribosomal RNA (253 nucleotides) under uncultured bacterium. RNAcentral describes it as "partial 16S ribosomal RNA". It matches the Rfam family "Bacterial small subunit ribosomal RNA", at positions 524 to 776 of the family's 1533-position model. The record is from RNAcentral.